This 308-nucleotide ribosomal RNA is filed under the name uncultured eukaryote. RNAcentral's name for it is "partial 18S ribosomal RNA". It matches the Rfam family "Eukaryotic small subunit ribosomal RNA", at positions 1470 to 1796 of the family's 1831-position model. The record is from RNAcentral.
CCCUUAGAUGUCCUGGGCCGCACGCGCGCUACAAUGACUCACUCAGAAAGUUUUUCCUGAUCCGGAAGGAUUCGGGUAAUCUUCAUAGCAUGAGUCGUGUUAGGGAUCGAUCUUUGCAAUUAUAGAUCUUGAACGAGGAGUGCCUAGUAAGUGCAGCUCAUCAGGCUGUACUGAUUACGUCCCUGCCCUUUGUACACACCGCCCGUCGCUCCUACCGAUUGAGUGGUCCGGUGAACCUUCUGGAUUAAGCAGCAAUGCUUGAGAAGUUAGGUAAACCUUAUCACUUAGAGGAAGGAGAAGUCGUAACA